UACGUAGGGUGCAAGCAUUAAUCGGAUUUAUUGGGCGUAAAGGGCGCGUAGGCGGAAGGGUCAGUCAGCUGUGAAAUCCCCCAGCUCAACUGGGGAAGUGCAGAUGAUACUGCCCAUCUAGAGGGUAGGCGGAGAUAGCGGAAUUCCACGUGUAGCGGUGAAAUGCGUAGAUAUGUGGAAGAACACCGGUGGCGAAAGCGGCUAUCUAGCUUACAACUGACGCUGAGGCGCGAAAGCAAGGGGAGCAAACAGG
RNAcentral lists this ribosomal RNA (253 nucleotides) under uncultured bacterium. RNAcentral describes it as "partial 16S ribosomal RNA". It matches the Rfam family "Bacterial small subunit ribosomal RNA", at positions 524 to 776 of the family's 1533-position model. The record is from RNAcentral.